This 171-nucleotide ribosomal RNA is filed under the name Triticum aestivum (bread wheat). RNAcentral describes it as "partial small subunit ribosomal RNA". The record is from RNAcentral. Lineage: Eukaryota; Viridiplantae; Streptophyta; Magnoliopsida; Poales; Poaceae.
AUGGAUGACUAGUUACGAAGGGACCAUUUUGUUUUUGUAGGAUGGUCCGGCCUAUUGCUCUUUCCUUGUGCUUAUUUCAUUUUAGGGGGUUGGUUUAGAGGGACAACUUUUGUAAAUACCGAGUAUACUCAUGGAUUGGCUAGUUCUUAUUUGGAAGGUUGUAUUUCUUAA